UAGGGAAUCUUCGGCAAUGGACGAAAGUCUGACCGAGCAACGCCGCGUGAUGAAGAAGGUUUUCGGAUCGUAAAACUCUGUUGGUAGAGAAGAACGUUGGUGAGAGUGGAAAGCUCAUCAAGUGACGGUAACUACCCAGAAAGGGACGGCUAACUACGUGCCAG
This 164-nucleotide ribosomal RNA is filed under the name uncultured bacterium. RNAcentral describes it as "partial 16S rRNA". It matches the Rfam family "Bacterial small subunit ribosomal RNA", at positions 355 to 511 of the family's 1533-position model. The record is from RNAcentral.